This is a small nucleolar RNA of Engraulis encrasicolus (European anchovy), 134 nucleotides long. RefSeq annotates it as small nucleolar RNA SNORA3/SNORA45 family. Lineage: Eukaryota; Metazoa; Chordata; Actinopteri; Clupeiformes; Engraulidae. The record is from RefSeq and is a predicted model, not a curated record. The transcript has a single exon.
AUCGAGACUAGAGUCACAUCCUGACACACACUGUUGUUUUGGUGUGCUAGAGUACUCGUAGAGAAAUUGUCUUUGCUAAUUCAUUGGUCGCCGCUCGUUCAGUUGCCCGGCCAAUCACCCGCUCAGAAACAUAU